This is a long non-coding RNA of Argiope bruennichi, 582 nucleotides long. RefSeq lists it as uncharacterized. The transcript has 4 exons. The record is from RefSeq and is a predicted model, not a curated record. Lineage: Eukaryota; Metazoa; Arthropoda; Arachnida; Araneae; Araneidae.
AGGGACAGAAUUAAUCCGAGAUCUGAGUUGGUCAGCGUGUGACAUCCACGAGGAAGAUGUUCUUCAAUAGGACAGCGUUCGGCUAGGAACAUAAGGAGCUGAGCACUUAGCACAAGAAAUGUUUCAGAUAUCUGCUAAUAUGAAUCAACCGAAAUGGGCGACGUUUAGCAUUUUGAAAUUAUGUUUUACAUUUAUGGAUGGAGAACCAGAAGAUAUAGCUAACAAUCUGUAAAAUCCUCAAUGCAUAUCGCCAAAAAAUGUGACUACGAAUACGGAUCUUCAGAACUAAACUAAUAAAUAAUACAAAAUCCAUUUCCCCUGAGUGGAUUCUUUAUGUGUGAAUAACGACAUGCCAUCAACCAUCAGAAGACCGGCUACAUUCUCAACUCCUUGAUGAAUUGACAAUUUAUACAGGAAAUGGAAAAUAAAGAUGACAUCGAAAUAGAAAUACAAAUACACCUAUAAUGCAGAUUCAAGCCAUAAUUACCUGGCAACAUUUAUCGAGACAGAUGCAACAUUUCCAGCGGUUUCUCAAUAUAAGAAUAAAGGAAAUCGAAACGCGUAUCAUUGGAUCAACUUAUC